AUGGCUAAUCAGGUGAAUGGUAAUGUGGUACAGUUAAAAGAAGAGGAAGAACCAGUGGAUGCUUCCAGUGUAACUCACACAGAACACUACAAGAUACUGAUAGAGGCAGGUCUCCCACAGAAGGUGGUGGAAAGACGAUGAAAUAUUUCGGACAGUAUUGGUAGCUUAUGUCGAUCUUGAUGAAGUAGCAAUUGAUGAUCUCAGGAGUUUAAUGAAGAAGGAGCUCCGUCUGUGCUGCAGCAGGUCAAGGAAAACGACCUUUCUCAUGUUCAGAACAAAAGCUCAUUUUUAUGUGGAGUUAUGAAGCCCUACAGGCAAAGAGAGAAACAGGGCAACAAAGUGCAAGAGUCCACAGAGGGACCUGAUGAAGCAAAGAUCAAGGUCUUACAUGAAAGGACUGGUUACACUCCAGAUGUAACAACAGGACAAAGAAGUGUGGUGGUCCUCCACCAGACAGCAUGUACUCUGGUGUGGAAUUGGAACAGAAGUCUUUGUAGGUAAAAUGCCAAGGGAUCUAUAUGAGAAUGAGUGGGUUCCCCUUUUUGAAAAAGCUGGCCCCAUUUGGGAUCUAUGCCUUAUGAUGGAUCCACUGUCUGGUCAGAACUGAGGGUAUGUAUUUGUCACCUUCAGUGGAAAGGAAGCUGCACAGGAAGCUGUUAAACUGUGUGACAAUUAUAAAAUUCACUCUGGGAAACACCUUGGAGUGUGUAUUUCUGUUGCAAACAACAGACUUUUCGUUGGAUCCAUCCUAUAGAAUAAGACUAAGGAAAACAUUCUAAAGAAUUCAGUAAAGUCACAGGUUUAACAGAGGGUUUGGUGGACGUUAUUCUGUGUCAUCAACCCGAUGACCAAAAGAAGAAUCAGGGGUUCUGCUUCCUUGAAUAUGAGGAUCACAAGUCAGCAGCACAAGCCAGAUGUCAGCUGAUGAGUGAAGAAGUACAAGUAUGGGGAAAUGUAGUUACAGAUGAAUGGGCUGACCCUGUGGAAGAACCAGAUCCAGACGUCAUGGCUAAGGUGAAAGUUUUAUUUGUGAGAAACUUGGCCACUACAGUGACAGAAGAAAUAUUGGAUAAGUAAUUUUCUGAAUUUGGAAAACCAGAAAGAGCAAAGAAGUUGAAAGAUUAUGCAUUUGUUCAUUUUGAAGACAAAGGAGCAAUGAAUGAAAUGGAUGGAAAAGAAGGAGAAGGGGAAAAAUUGAAAGUCUUACCUAAACCCCCAGACAAGAAAAAGAAAGAGCAAUAAGCAGCUGGUCAGGCCUCCAGAAGUAUUAUGCAUGAAGAUUACUACUAUCACCCUCCUCCUCGAAUGCCACCUCCAAUUAGAGGUCAAGGUCAUGGUGGAGGUAAAGGUGGAUAUGUCUACCCUCCAGAUUACUAUGGCUAUGAAAAUUACUAUGAUGAUUACUAUGGUUAUGAUUAUCAUGACUGUUGUGGAGGCUAAGAAGAUCCCUACUAUAGCUAUGAUGAUGGCUAUGCAGUAAGAGGAAGAGGAGGAGGAAGGGGAGAGUGAGGUGCUCUACCACCACCAAGGGUGCAGGGAGCACCACUGCCAAGAGGUAGAGCUGGCUAUUCACAGAGAGGGCCGCCUUUGGGAUUGUCAACAGGCUCUAGGAGUGGCAGAGGUGGUCCUGCACAACAGCAGAGAGGCCAUGGUUCCCGUGGAGCUCAGGGCAAUCAUGGGGACAAUGUAGGAAGCAAGAGAAAGGCAGAUUGGUACAGCCAACCUUAUUCCAAGUGUUGUCAGACCAAUAACCAACAGAACUGGGGUUCACAACCCAUCACUCAGCAGCUGCUUCAGCAAGGUGGUGACUAUUCUGGUAACUAUGGUUACAAUAAUGACAACCAGGAAUUUUAUCAGGAUACUUAUGGGCAACAGUGAAAAUAGAAAAGUGAGGGCUUGAAAAUGAUUCUGUCAAGAUACGAUUGGCUCUGUAUCUACAUUCUUCAAAAAAAAAAUUGACUUAACUGUUUCAUCUUUAAGUAGCACUUCGCUGCCAUUUGUAUGGGGCUGAAGAAUCACUAUUGUGUAUAUACUUAAGUCUUUUUAUUUUUCUUUUCAUAAAUGCUCUUGAACAUUAUUGGGCUUGCAGAGUUCUCUUAUUUUGGGGGUUACAAUGCUUUUAUCAUUUCAAGCUCCAUUUUAGUUUCAGAACAAGUUGUUAAAUCGUAGUUUUGCAGAACCUUUGGUUUGGACAG
Octodon degus (degu) is the source of this 2195-nucleotide RNA transcript. It is a transcript of the gene named heterogeneous nuclear ribonucleoprotein R pseudogene, with no coding region annotated. Lineage: Eukaryota; Metazoa; Chordata; Mammalia; Rodentia; Octodontidae. The record is from RefSeq and is a predicted model, not a curated record. The transcript has a single exon.